AUUGAACGCUGGCGGCAGGCCUAACACAUGCAAGUCGAGCGGUAGCACAGGAGAGCUUGCUCUCUGGGUGACGAGCGGCGGACGGGUGAGUAAUGUCUGGGAAACUGCCUGAUGGAGGGGGAUAACUACUGGAAACGGUAGCUAAUACCGCAUAAUGUCGCAAGACCAAAGAGGGGGACCUUCGGGCCUCUUGCCAUCAG
This 200-nucleotide ribosomal RNA is filed under the name uncultured bacterium. RNAcentral's name for it is "partial 16S ribosomal RNA". It matches the Rfam family "Bacterial small subunit ribosomal RNA", at positions 30 to 224 of the family's 1533-position model. The record is from RNAcentral.